ACUCAAAUGAAUAGACGGGGGCCCGCACAAGCAGUGGAGUAUGUGGUUUAAUUCGAAGCAACGCGAAAAACCUUACCAGGUCUUGACAUCGAGUGAAACGCCUAGAGAUAGGCGCCUCCUUCGGGACACAAAGACAGGUGGUGCAUGGUUGUCGUCAGCUCGUGUCGUGAGAUGUUGGGUUAAGUCCCGCAACGAGCGCAACCCUUACUGUUAGUUGCUACGCAAGAGCACUCUAGCAGGACUGCCGUUGACAAAACGGAGGAAGGUGGGGAUGACGUCAAAUCAUCAUGCCCUUUAUGACCUGGGCUACACACGUACUACAAUGGCCGUUAACAACGGGAAGCGAAGGAGCGAUCCGGAGCAAAUCCCCAAAAGCGGUCUCAGUUCGGAUUGCAGGCUGAAACCCGCCUGUAUGAAGUCGGAAUUGCUAGUAAUCGCAGAUCAGCAUGCUGCGGUGAAUACGUUCCCGGGCCUUGCACACACCGCCCGU
This 490-nucleotide ribosomal RNA is filed under the name uncultured bacterium. Its description in RNAcentral is "bacterial SSU rRNA". It matches the Rfam family "Bacterial small subunit ribosomal RNA", at positions 899 to 1397 of the family's 1533-position model. The record is from RNAcentral.